UGUUAAAAAUUCCAUUCAUUUAUAUUGUUAAAAACUGACAUAGUUGACGAAAUAACCAGAUGGUUACACCCAAAUAGUUACACCUAAUGUGCCAAGUGUAACUUAUGUUCAUGUAUAGAAACCAGUUUUUAACAGUAAAAUAGAUAUAAUUUUUAAUA
Molecule: microRNA precursor, 158 nt
Filed under: Gossypium hirsutum (cotton)
Lineage: Eukaryota; Viridiplantae; Streptophyta; Magnoliopsida; Malvales; Malvaceae
Also listed under: 1 other name
Description: MIR7502 microRNA precursor family
Rfam family: MIR7502 microRNA precursor family
Source: Rfam by way of RNAcentral